This 256-nucleotide ribosomal RNA is filed under the name uncultured bacterium. RNAcentral describes it as "partial 16S ribosomal RNA". It matches the Rfam family "Bacterial small subunit ribosomal RNA", at positions 524 to 776 of the family's 1533-position model. The record is from RNAcentral.
AACGGGAGGGGCGAGUGUUAUUCAUCUUUAUUGGGCGUAAAGCGUAACUAGACGGCUUUUGAAACUAAAGGCUAAAGACCAGAGCAUAACUUUGGGGUGCAUUUACAGAUCAUUAAGCUAAGGGUUUACGGGAAGUUGGCGGAUUUUUUAAGGUAGAGGUAAAAUCCUUAGAUAUUAAAAUGUCCAUCAAACUGCGGAGGCAGCCAACUAUCGUAAGGACUGACGUUCAAUUACGAAAGCGUGGGGAUCAAACAGG